AUCUUUGUUGUCUCUUCACAAUGAGAACUUGGUGGAGACCCUGGGAGUAAAACCCCUGCAAGUGUGAAGCUGCUCUGAAAAGAUGUCUGAAGUCCAGGAGUCCCUCUUCAAGGAGUGUCACUGAAACUGACUGAUGACUGCCAGAGUGACACCAGAAAACUCUAACUCAUCAUCAUAAAAGACAGAAACAUUCCUUCUCUUUAUUAGCCUCCUCCCCUCAUUUCCUUCACUCUGUAUCCAAGAUGCAGAAAGUUAAUUGUUGAGUUUCACUUCCCCAAAAAUAAACAUUUCCUUCACUGUUCAA
Ictidomys tridecemlineatus (thirteen-lined ground squirrel) is the source of this 304-nucleotide non-coding RNA. Lineage: Eukaryota; Metazoa; Chordata; Mammalia; Rodentia; Sciuridae. The record is from RefSeq and is a predicted model, not a curated record.